AAUCCUGGCUCAGAUUGAACGCUGGCGGCAGGCCUAACACAUGCAAGUCGAACGGUAACAGGAAGAAGCUUGCUUCUUUGCUGACGAGUGGCGGACGGGUGAGUAAUGUCUGGGAAACUGCCUGAUGGAGGGGGGAUAACUACUGGAAACGGUAGCUAAUACCGCAUAAUGUCGCAAGACCAAAGAGGGGCACCUUCGGGCCGUCUUGCCAUCGGAUGUGCCCAGAUGGGAUUAGCUAGUAGGUGGGG
RNAcentral lists this ribosomal RNA (248 nucleotides) under uncultured bacterium. Its description in RNAcentral is "partial 16S ribosomal RNA". It matches the Rfam family "Bacterial small subunit ribosomal RNA", at positions 15 to 257 of the family's 1533-position model. The record is from RNAcentral.